CAGGGUUUGAUCCUGGCUCAGAUUGAACGCUGGCGGCAGGCCUAACACAUGCAAGUCGAGCGGAUGAAGGGAGCUUGCUCCUGGAUUCAGCGGCGGACGGGUGAGUAAUGCCUAGGAAUCUGCCUGGUAGUGGGGGAUAACGUCCGGAAACGGGCGCUAAUACCGCAUACGUCCUGAGGGAGAAAGUGGGGGAUCUUCGGACCUCACGCUAUCAGAUGAGCCUAGGUCGGAUUAGCUAGUUGGUGGGGUAAAGGCCUACCAAGGCGACGAUCCGUAACUGGUCUGAGAGGAUGAUCAGUCACACUGGAACUGAGACACGGUCCAGACUCCUACGGGAGGCAGCAGUGGGGAAUAUUGGACAAUGGGCGAAAGCCUGAUCCAGCCAUGCCGCGUGUGUGAAGAAGGUCUUCGGAUUGUAAAGCACUUUAAGUUGGGAGGAAGGGCAGUAAGUUAAUACCUUACUGUUUUGACGUUACCAACAGAAUAAGCACCGGCUAACUUC
Molecule: ribosomal RNA, 502 nt
Filed under: uncultured bacterium
Lineage: Bacteria
Description: bacterial SSU rRNA
Rfam family: Bacterial small subunit ribosomal RNA
Source: RNAcentral